This 408-nucleotide ribosomal RNA is filed under the name uncultured bacterium. Its description in RNAcentral is "partial 16S ribosomal RNA". It matches the Rfam family "Bacterial small subunit ribosomal RNA", at positions 28 to 526 of the family's 1533-position model. The record is from RNAcentral.
GACGAACGCUGGCGGCGUGCUUAACACAUGCAAGUCGAACGAAGUGGCGAACGGGUGAGUAACGCGUAAUCAACCUGCCCUUCAGAGGGGGACAACAGUUGGAAACGACUGCUAAUACCGCAUACUGAAGUAGGGGAUUGCGUCUGAUUGGCUAGUUGGAGGGGUAACGUCCCACAAAGGCGAUGAUCAGUAGCCGGUGUGAAAGGAGGAACGGCCACAUUGGGACUGAGACACGGCCCAGACUCCGACGGGAGGCAGCAGUGGAGAAUCUUCCGCAAUGGACGAAAGUCUGACGGAGCAACGCCGCGUGAGUGAUGACGGCCUUCGGGUUGUAAAGCUCUGUUAGUCGGGACGCGGUACCGGAAUAGAAAGCCACGGCUAACUACGUGCCAGCAGCCGCGGUAAUUC